AUCGAACGCUAGCGGGAUGCUUUACACAUGCAAGUUGAACGAGUGGCGGACGGGUGAGUAAUAUAUCGGAACGUGCCCAGUCGCGGGGGAUCACUACUCGAAAAAGUGGCUAAUACCGCAUACUAUUGGAGUGGGCGAUAUCUGAUUAGCUAGUUGGGGGGGGAAGGGCUCACCAAGGCCACGAUCCGUAGCUGGUUUGAGAGGACGACCAGCCAAACUGGGACUGAGACACGGCCCAGACUCAUACGGGAGGAAGCAGUGGGGAAUUUUGGACAAUGGGGGAAACCCUGAUCCAGCCAUCCCGCGUGUAUGAGAAGGCCUUCGGGUUGUAAAGUACUUUUGGCAGAGAAGCGGUAUCGGCAGAAUAAGCACCGGCUAACUACGUGCCAGCAGCCGCGGUAAUUC
This 405-nucleotide ribosomal RNA is filed under the name uncultured bacterium. Its description in RNAcentral is "partial 16S ribosomal RNA". It matches the Rfam family "Bacterial small subunit ribosomal RNA", at positions 30 to 526 of the family's 1533-position model. The record is from RNAcentral.